This 249-nucleotide long non-coding RNA is filed under the name Elaeis guineensis (African oil palm). RNAcentral's name for it is "long non-coding RNA (EGUI_LNC039257)". The record is from RNAcentral. Lineage: Eukaryota; Viridiplantae; Streptophyta; Magnoliopsida; Arecales; Arecaceae.
GCAUAUAAUGAUUCGUACCUAUAAGCUAACAUCAGAAGUCAAAUCCAUGGUAGGAUGUGUAUGCUCAGUAGGCUCUGACUUGGUAGGUGGUGUAUGGACUGGUGGCAACUGAGAGAAAGGUGGUGGAGCAAGAGGUGUGACUUCUGCUGGUAUCGGAUCUAGAGAAGCUGAUGGAAUGUGGGUUAAUGACGACUGAGAGGAAGAUGGUGGAGCCAUGGUGCCAUAACUCUGAAGAAGCUGCUAGUACCU